GCCUGAGGGCACGAGGGCUGGCUGCCUUCCCGGAAAACACAGUUCUCUGCCUGGCCUGUCCUUGAGCCCAGGCCCAGCUCUGUCCCAUGGCAGGAUCCGCAGCGAGUAAGCCACCCUACUCCCGGAGCUGGGGGAGAACCAGCUUCCAGUCCCAGGAGACCUCCCCUCCAGGAUGGGGACCCGGGCCACCUCUCCAGCUCUGUUCUGUAGGAGACUCGCUAGUGGCUGGGUCUCCAAGCCAGACCUCUGGGGCUGUCCCUGGGAACUGUGGGUCCCAAGGACCCAUGUGGUUGCGUUCCCAGUCGGGGCGGGGGUGCCUCUGGAGAGCUCCUUCUGAGGAGGGACUUUGUUUUCAGGGAAGAAGGCAGCGCAGAGGUUUCCUCUCCUCCAGAGUGGGCCUUCUCCAGCCUGUCUCUGCCAGGGCAGGGGGCACAGGGUGGACCAGGCCCGGGUCCCUCUCCACUGCCCCCACUGCUCUGUCUUUGUGCUGGGAGUGCUCAGCACAGCUUGUGUGUGGUGGAUCCCCAGGAGACCUGCUGUGCCCUGGAUCUGACCACAGUGAGCAGAAAGCCUUUUUCUCUGGGAGAGCCGUCGGAUAGGCCUGCUGGUGGAAGGGAAGGCUGACACUGAGAUGCGCAGGAGGAGCACUUGGCACUUCCAGAGUCUGGAUUCUCUGUGUGGCUGGACAAGGGCUUUCAGGGACCCAGGAGGAGGCCUGGCUGCCAGGAAGGGUGGGGCUGCCAGGCACCGCCCAGCUGCAGUGUGACCCCGCCAGUCCCGGAAACUCUCCAAACCUUGGACCUCAGCGGACAUCCGGCAGCUCGGAAGGGUGGCGGCGAGGCUGCCAGGGGGAGCUGAGGGUGUGUGGGAUGCGUCUGAGGUGAGACGGAGAAAGCAACAGCCGUUUUUCUUCCAAUUCUGCAAUCAGAAGGCUCUGGGCAGCCUUCGAAAAUGCUUUUCACCCCGGGAUGUUGCCAUGCAUCCUAGACUUACUAAUUAAAAAAAAAAGUUACCACUCGUUGAAGAGUGUUUACCAGGUGCUGGGCACUCGCCAAGCUUGUUAACCUACCUGAAUCCUUCAACACCUUAAUGAGACUAGACUCUUAUCAUUAUAUCCUUUUCAUAGAUGCAGAAUCUG
Phacochoerus africanus (Common warthog) is the source of this 1138-nucleotide long non-coding RNA. RefSeq lists it as uncharacterized. The record is from RefSeq and is a predicted model, not a curated record. Lineage: Eukaryota; Metazoa; Chordata; Mammalia; Artiodactyla; Suidae. The transcript has 3 exons.